GGAAUAUUGCACAAUGGGGGAAACCCUGAUGCAGCGACGCCGCGUGAGCGAAGAAGUAUUUCGGUAUGUAAAGCUCUAUCAGCAGGGAAGAAAAUGACUGUACCUGACUAAGAAGCCCCGGCUAAAUACGUGCCAGCAGCCGCGGUAAUACGUAUGGGGCAAGCGUUAUCCGGAUUUACUGGGUGUAAAGGGAGCGCAGGCGGCUUGGCAAGUCCGAUGUGAAAGGCUGGGGCUCAACCCCAGGACUGCAUUGGAAACUGUUAGGCUAGAGUGUCGGAGAGGUAAGCGGAAUUCCUAGUGUAGCGGUGAAAUGCGUAGAUAUUAGGAGGAACACCAGUGGCGAAGGCGGCUUACUGGACGACAACUGACGCUGAGGCUCGAAAGCGUGGGGAGCAAACA
This 399-nucleotide ribosomal RNA is filed under the name uncultured bacterium. RNAcentral's name for it is "bacterial SSU rRNA". It matches the Rfam family "Bacterial small subunit ribosomal RNA", at positions 358 to 774 of the family's 1533-position model. The record is from RNAcentral.